This 484-nucleotide ribosomal RNA is filed under the name uncultured bacterium. RNAcentral describes it as "bacterial SSU rRNA". It matches the Rfam family "Bacterial small subunit ribosomal RNA", at positions 28 to 489 of the family's 1533-position model. The record is from RNAcentral.
GACGAACGCUGGCGGCGUGCUUAACACAUGCAAGUCGAACGGUAACAGGCCCUUCGGGGUGCUGACGAGUGGCGGACGGGUGAGUAACGCUUAGGAAUCUGCCUGGUUGUGGGGGAGUAACCCGGGGAAACUCGGGCUAAUACCGCAUACGUCUCCCUGUCUUUGCGACAGGGAGGGAAAGCGGGGGACCUUCGGGCCUCGCGCUAUCAGAUGAGCCUAAGUCCGAUUAGCUAGUUGGUAGGGUAACGGCCUACCAAGGCGACGAUCGGUAGCUGGUCUGAGAGGACGACCAGCCACACUGGGACUGAGACACGGCCCAGACUCCUACGGGAGGGCAGCAGUGGGGAAUAUUGGACAAUGGGCGAAAGCCUGAUCCAGCGAUGCCGCGUGUGUGAAGAAGGCCUGCGGGUUAGUAAAGCACUUUCAGUAGGGAAGAAAAGCCGAGUGCCAAUACCACUCGGUCUUGACGUUACCUAAAGAAGAA